This 1503-nucleotide ribosomal RNA is filed under the name uncultured bacterium. RNAcentral describes it as "bacterial SSU rRNA". It matches the Rfam family "Bacterial small subunit ribosomal RNA". The record is from RNAcentral.
GAUGAACGCUGGCGGCGUGCCUAAUACAUGCAAGUCGAGCGAACAGACGAGGAGCUUGCUCCUCUGAAGUUAGCGGCGGACGGGUGAGUAACACGCGGAUAACCUACCUAUAAGACUGGGAUAACUUCGGGAAACCGGAGCUAAUACCGGAUAACAUGUUGAACCGCAUGGUUCAACAGUGAAAGAUGGUCUUGCUGUCACUUAUAGAUGGAUCCGCGCCGCAUUAGCUAGUUGGUAAGGUAACGGCUUACCAAGGCAACGAUGCGUAGCCGACCUGAGAGGGUGAUCGGCCACACUGGAACUGAGACACGGUCCAGACUCCUACGGGAGGCAGCAGUAGGGAAUCUUCCGCAAUGGGCAAAAGCCUGACGGAGCAACGCCGCGUGAGUGAAGAAGGUCUUCGGAUCGUAAAACUCUGUUAUUAGGGAAGAACAAAUGUGUAAGUAACUAUGCACGUCUUGACGGUACCUAAUCAGAAAGCCACGGCUAACUACGUGCCAGCAGCCGCGGUAAUACGUAGGUGGCAAGCGUUAUCCGGAAUUAUUGGGCGUAAAGCGCGCGUAGGCGGUUUUUUAAGUCUGAUGUGAAAGCCCACGGCUCAACCGUGGAGGGUCAUUGGAAACUGGAAAACUUGAGUGCAGAAGAGGAAAGUGGAAUUCCAUGUGUAGCGGUGAAAUGCGCAGAGAUAUGGAGGAACACCAGUGGCGAAGGCGACUUUCUGGUCUGUAACUGACGCUGAUGUGCGAAAGCGUGGGGAUCGAACAGGGUUAGAUACCCUGGUAGUCCACGCCGUAAACGAUGAGUGCUAAGUGUUAGGGGGUUUCCGCCCCUUAGUGCUGCAGCUAACGCAUUAAGCACUCCGCCUGGGGAGUACGACCGCAAGGUUGAAACUCAAAGGAAUUGACGGGGACCCGCACAAGCGGUGGAGCAUGUGGUUUAAUUCGAAGCAACGCGAAGAACCUUACCAAAUCUUGACAUCCUCUGACCCCUCUAGAGAUAGAGUUUUCCCCUUCGGGGGACAGAGUGACAGGUGGUGCAUGGUUGUCGUCAGCUCGUGUCGUGAGAUGUUGGGUUAAGUCCCGCAACGAGCGCAACCCUUAAGCUUAGUUGCCAUCAUUAAGUUGGGCACUCUAAGUUGACUGCCGGUGACAAACCGGAGGAAGGUGGGGAUGACGUCAAAUCAUCAUGCCCCUUAUGAUUUGGGCUACACACGUGCUACAAUGGACAAUACAAAGGGUAGCGAAACCGCGAGGUCAAGCAAAUCCCAUAAAGUUGUUCUCAGUUCGGAUUGUAGUCUGCAACUCGACUACAUAAAGCUGGAAUCGCUAGUAAUCGUAGAUCAGCAUGCUACGGUGAAUACGUUCCCGGGUCUUGUACACACCGCCCGUCACACCACGAGAGUUUGUAACACCCGAAGCCGGUGGAGUAACCUUUUGGAGCUAGCCGUCGAAGGUGGGACAAAUGAUUGGGGUGAAGUCGUAACAAGGUAGCCGUAUCGGAAGG